UCUCAUCACAUUUCCAAGCUAAACAAGCUUGGCCUGGGUCAGUUCAGGGUUGGGAGACCUCCAAGGAAAAGCUGGGGUGUUGGAAA
This 86-nucleotide ribosomal RNA is filed under the name Serinus canaria (Common canary). The record is from RNAcentral. Lineage: Eukaryota; Metazoa; Chordata; Aves; Passeriformes; Fringillidae.